This is a long non-coding RNA of Gallus gallus (chicken), 776 nucleotides long. The record is from Ensembl. Lineage: Eukaryota; Metazoa; Chordata; Aves; Galliformes; Phasianidae.
GGCGGCGUCCCGCAGCCGGCCGAGCGGCUCCCCCUACAGACAGGCAGACGGACGUGCCUGCAGCGACGAGGCCCCGGCAGCCUCCCGUCCCCAGUUGGCGCUGCUGUGGUCCUGGAGACCAUCAACUCGUAGAUUUACCAAGCCAAAAGAACAUGCGUUUUCGUCUUUUAGGGAUCCCUAGCGGCUGUUCUUUAUGCUUUUAAGUUGCCGGUGAGGUUGUGGAUGCCCCCUCCAUGGAAGCAUUGCAGGCCAGGCUGGAUGGGGCUUUGAGCAACCUGGUCUAGAGGGAGGUGUCCCUGCCUAUAGCAGGUGGGCUGGAGUGAGAUGAUCUGCAAGGUCCCUUCCAACCCAAAACAUUCUAUGAUUCGUUAAGUUUGAAAGAGCAAUAAGUGACAUUCUUGUGCUUUCUGACUUUUUUGGACUUUGUGUGAAGUCGUGGUAACAUUUCCUCUUCAGGCCUUGGCAUCAAAUCCUUUCAGAUACAGAAGCCCUUACCUCUCAAGUUAACAUCUAGCACAACAGAAUCUCCCUGCGGUAUUAUUUCUACCCACUGAAAGUCUGUGCAUGGGAAAAAAAUGUUUUUGCAACAACAAGAAGUUUCAGGAGAUGUUUGGGGGACUACCAGUAGGGCGCUAGGAAGGCAGAUGCGCAUCUUCAAUCUCAUUGCCUGCCUCCACUUGAGAAGUGCUAUGCUUUUCCAAUGCAACCAGCUGUCACAACCAGCCACCUUGUCUUAUCUAGUUCUUGCUUUGCCAAGCCCACUGCUAAGAGAGCUG